GCAAAUUAGUUGUAUAUAUUUCAUUUCAGUAGCACAUCGCAUGAAUUACAAUACAUCAUCCAUCGACUCCUCUACACAUAAAGGUUCAAGGCCCAACAAGUGCACAACAAAAUAGUUCUACAAGUGCAUGUGCACAACAGAAGGGCCCAACAAGGGCAUAAUCACACAUCAACAUAGUUCAACAAAGAUUGGAUGAGAAGCACAAGUUUUUGUUGAUCACACAUAACAUAAAUUAUAAACGAAGCUUCUUGUUCCCUCCUCCUGACCUGUCU
RNAcentral lists this long non-coding RNA (272 nucleotides) under Hordeum vulgare. RNAcentral's name for it is "long non-coding RNA (HVUL_LNC000331)". The record is from RNAcentral. Lineage: Eukaryota; Viridiplantae; Streptophyta; Magnoliopsida; Poales; Poaceae.